RNAcentral lists this long non-coding RNA (501 nucleotides) under Bos indicus x Bos taurus (hybrid cattle). RNAcentral's name for it is "lncRNA (ENSBIXG00000022227.1)". The record is from RNAcentral. Lineage: Eukaryota; Metazoa; Chordata; Mammalia; Artiodactyla; Bovidae.
AGAGAUUCCUGCACCAUGAUUAACAGAUCCAACCAGCCUCGUAGUUCACCUCAGCAAAAUGGGGGAGUGAGGAUUUUUGUCUUUUUUUCUGUCCAAAUGGUGCAACAAGAAUGUUCCUCAGGAAUCUCUGUCUUGAGUAAUAAACUCCCUUCUUUUGAAAUCCCAGGCCUUGUGCCCAGAGUAGACAGAUUCCCUAAUAAAGAUGGAAGCGUCAACUCUGAAGCAAGGAUACUUGGUAAAAUGAUUUUAAAACUGACAAGAAAAAGCAGCUCGAAGUGGCCCAGCAAGUUCAGAGAAAGUCCGCGCUGGCAGGACGCACGGAGGCGGUGUGAUGAGCUGUGCGCUGCUGACACCACGCUGAGUGAACAGAGGAAGGCUCUUGGAGGAGGUUCAAGGGGCCAGCAUUGUCUUCCCUGAUGGCUCAACCAAGAAAGAAUCUGCCUGCAGUGCAGGAGACACAGAAGACGCAGGUUCGACCCCUGUGUCAGGAGGAUCCCCUGG